Molecule: RNA transcript, 1553 nt
Organism: Oryza brachyantha (malo sina)
Lineage: Eukaryota; Viridiplantae; Streptophyta; Magnoliopsida; Poales; Poaceae
Exons: 3
Source: RefSeq, a predicted model, not a curated record
CCGGGAGGACGGGAAAUCAUCUCUCUCUCCCUCUCCGGCUCUCCGCCGUUCCACUUCCACCCUCAUCCCCGCCGCCGCCACGCCAUCCCCGGCCGCCGCCGCCGCGGUCCAGCCAUGCUCCACCUCCAGAAACACCUCAUCCUCCUCUCCCUCCCUCCCCGGGCCACCACGUCCACUACCACACUCCUCUCCUUCCGCCACCAAUGCCUCUUCUCCUUCGCGCGGUUCGCCGCCUCCACCCCCGCCGUGGCGGCGGCGGCGGCGGGUAAGUCCGCCCCCUUCGCCGUCGAGGACUACCUCGUCGCCUCCUGCCACCUCACCCCUGACCAGGCUACCAAGGCCUCCAAGGCCAUCUCGCACCUCAAGUCCCCGUCCAGGCCCGACGCCGUCGUCGCCUUCCUCGACGGCCUCGGCCUCUCCAACGCCGACAUCGCCGCCGCCGUCUCGUACGACCCGCGCCUCCUCUGCACGGAGGUCGACAGGACCCUCGCCCCGCGCCUCGCCGAGCUGACGGACCUCGGGUUCUCCCCCUCGCAGAUUGUGCGCCUCUUCCUGGUCGACCCCACCCGCUUCCGCCGCCCCACCGUCAUCUCCAAGCUGCAGUACUACGCACAGAUGUUCGGCUCCUUCGAGAGCCUCCUCCAUGCGCUGAAGAAAAACACCUACCUCCUCAGCUCAGACCUCGAGAAGGUGGUCAAGCCCAACGUCGCGAUUCUCCGUGAGUGCGGUCUAGGUGCUUGUGAUAUUGCCAAGCUGUGCAUCCCGUUGCCGAGGUUGCUCACCACCAACCCAGAGCGUGUCCGAGGUAUGGUGGCUCAAGCAGAGCACAUUGGGGUGCACCGUGGCUCCAAGAUGUUCAGGCACGCUGUUUUUGCGGUGGCGUUUAUCAGCGAGGAAAAGAUCGCGGCCAAAAUGCAGUUCUUGAAGAAGACAUUUAGGUGGUCAGACGCUGAGGUGAGGAUUGCAGUGUCGAAGCUGCCUGUGGUGCUGAGGAACUCAGAGGACAGGCUGAGCCGUGUGUCUGAAUUCCUGAUGUCUGAGGCCGGGUUGGAGCCAGCAUACAUUGCUUACAGGCCGGCAAUGCUCACUUAUAGCCUGGAACGCCGGCUCAUGCCCCGUUACUGCGUUUUGAAGUAUCUAAAGGACAAUGGAUUGGUAGAGUCUGACAGAGGCUACUACAGCGCAUUCCAGGUGAGCGAGGAGGUCUUCAUGGAUAAGUACAUAAGUCCUUACAAGGACACUGUGCUGCGCCUAGCUGAAGACUAUGCUGCUGCAUACAGAGGAAAUAUACCCGCUAGAUUCAGAUUGAAAGGACCAAAAACAGGCCAUGCAAGUACGCCAACUGUCUAAUUCUUGCCACCAAGUAGUGAGCCGUUAUGAGCCGGUUCAUCAUUUUGUCACAUGCCGUGGCCGUGUGCAUAUUGUUCAUGCCAAUGGCUCAUUCAUCUGUGUGUUGUAUGAAAUUACCAAUGAUGAUUCAAUGAGCCGUCGCCGUAACCCAUCUUGCGGACGACGCUGGACAUGAAGACCUCUACUGGCCGCAUGCUGGCCCC